AUUUUCACCUCUUUAAUUUUUUUAAUUAAAAAAAGAAAAUAAAAUUAGAAAAUCACUGUCUCACAAGCACGAUGGAAUGGAACCCUCAAACUCUUCAACUCGUCUCUGAAAGCUUCCUCAACACUCUCUCAAGCACCAGAGCCUCGCCGCCGCGCCGAAUCCUCCGUAGUUGAAGCAGCCGAUCUUCCAAACUUCUACCUCGUCUUACUCCGUCUUGUCCUCGAACAAGCUGUUGGUGAGCAGAUCCAUUAAUCCACCGCCGUCAACUUAAAAAACCACCUCCGUCUCCGAUGGGUGUUAAAAGACAGUUCGAUCCUUGAUUUCGUGAUGGAACAGAUCAAAAUCCUAAUCGUCUCUCUAAUGCUCUCCGCUACUCCCAAAAUCCAAUCCCAGUUUAGCGAAACCCUAGCUAUCAUUGACAACCAUGAUUUCUUCAAAUCAUGGCCAUCACUCUACCUGAACUCGUCGUCUAUCUCCAAAAUGCAUCUCAAGUUAACGAUUACGCUUCCAUUAAUGGUAUUCUAGGUAUGAGACAAACCUUCGCAUAAAAGCUGAGUCUCAUGCUGCCUCAGUUGAAGAGAAAGAAGCAUCUUUAGAAGGUAGGUUAGGCCAACUAUCAGAGAGCAUAGAGAGAGUGAAUAAAAUAGAGUUCAGGAUGAUAAUUCACAACUGAAGAGUGACUCAGAGUUUUCUAUUUCUAAAUAAAUGCAAAUGCAGCUUGAACAAGUGGAAUGCAAGCUAAUAAUGCAGAGAUAGAAGUAGAGCUGCUAAAAGAGCAACUGGAACAUCUUAAGGACCAAUUCAAUGAGCUUUGCGUGUGUUGGGUCUAUUUGGUGGUGCUACAAAAUGGAUCCUUCCAUGCGGACACUUCAGAGGAUUUCAGGAUAUGGAUGCUUCUAAUGUUCCAAACGAGACAAAUUUUCGAAGUUCAUGCCUGGAUGAAGAUUGAAGAGAGGAAGAUUAAAGGCUUCUUUUAUCUUAGAUAUGCUUUUUUUUUUAUUUUAAAUUUUUAGUAAGAUCUAUUUUGGUGCUUUUAUCUUUUAGACAAAAUCUCGUUUUUUUCGUUAUUUUGAUACAUUUGUAAGACUUACUAUUUUGACAAUAUAAUUGAAAAUUUAUUUGACGUUAUUUUAAA
Molecule: long non-coding RNA, 1135 nt
Organism: Vicia villosa (hairy vetch)
Lineage: Eukaryota; Viridiplantae; Streptophyta; Magnoliopsida; Fabales; Fabaceae
Exons: 5
Source: RefSeq, a predicted model, not a curated record